CAGGCUUAGCACAUGCAAGUCGAGGGGCAGCAUGGUCUUAGCUUGCUAAGGCCGAUGGCGACCGGCGCACGGGUGAGUAACACGUAUCCAACCUGCCGUCUACUCUUGGACAGCCUUCUGAAAGGAAGAUUAAUACAAGAUGGCAUCAUGAGUCCGCAUGUUCACAUGAUUAAAGGUAUUCCGGUAGACGAUGGGGAUGCGUUCCAUUAGAUAGUAGGCGGGGUAACGGCCCACCUAGUCUUCGAUGGAUAGGGGUUCUGAGAGGAAGGUCCCCCACAUUGGAACUGAGACACGGUCCAAACUCCUACGGGAGGCAGCAGUGAGGAAUAUUGGUCAAUGGGCGAGAGCCUGAACCAGCCAAGUAGCGUGAAGGAUGACUGCCCUAUGGGUUGUAAACUUCUUUUAUAAAGGAAUAAAGUCGGGUAUGCAUACCCGUUUGCAUGUACUUUAUGAAUAAGGAUCGGCUAACUCCGUGCCAGCAGCCGCGGUAAUACGGAGGAUCCGAGCGUUAUCCGGAUUUAUUGGGUUUAAAGGGAGCGUAGAUGGAUGUUUAAGUCAGUUGUGAAAGUUUGCGGCUCAACCGUAAAAUUGCAGUUGAUACUGGAUAUCUUGAGUGCAGUUGAGGCAGGCGGAAUUCGUGGUGUAGCGGUGAAAUGCUUAGAUAUCACGAAGAACUCCGAUUGCGAAGGCAGCCUGCUAAGCUGCAACUGACAUUGAGGCUCGAAAGUGUGGGUAUCAAACAGGAUUAGAUACCCUGGUAGUCCACACGGUAAACGAUGAAUACUCGCUGUUUGCGAUAUACGGCAAGCGGCCAAGCGAAAGCGUUAAGUAUUCCACCUGGGGAGUACGCCGGCAACGGUGAAACUCAAAGGAAUUGACGGGGGCCCGCACAAGCGGAGGAACAUGUGGUUUAAUUCGAUGAUACGCGAGGAACCUUACCCGGGCUUAAAUUGCAGAUGAAUUACGGUGAAAGCCGUAAGCCGCAAGGCAUCUGUGAAGGUGCUGCAUGGUUGUCGUCAGCUCGUGCCGUGAGGUGUCGGCUUAAGUGCCAUAACGAGCGCAACCCUUGUUGUCAGUUACUAACAGGUUCCGCUGAGGACUCUGACAAGACUGCCAUCGUAAGAUGUGAGGAAGGUGGGGAUGACGUCAAAUCAGCACGGCCCUUACGUCCGGGGCUACACACGUGUUACAAUGGGGGGUACAGAGGGCCGCUACCACGCGAGUGGAUGCCAAUCCCAAAAACCUCUCUCAGUUCGGACUGGAGUCUGCAACCCGACUCCACGAAGCUGGAUUCGCUAGUAAUCGCGCAUCAGCCACGGCGCGGUGAAUACGUUCCCGGGCCUUGUACACACCGCCCGUCAAGCCAUGGGAGCCGGGGGUACCUGAAGUGCGUAACCGCGAGGAGCGCCCUAGGGUAAAACUGGUGACUGG
Molecule: ribosomal RNA, 1431 nt
Filed under: uncultured organism
Description: 16S ribosomal RNA
Rfam family: Bacterial small subunit ribosomal RNA
Source: RNAcentral